UACAGAGGUGGCAAGCGUUGUUCGGAAUUACUGGGCGUAAAGGGCGCGUAGGCGGCCUUCUAAGUCAGACGUGAAAUCCCUCGGCUUAACCGGGGAACUGCGUCUGAUACUGGAUGGCUUGAGUUUGGGAGAGGGAUGCGGAAUUCCAGGUGUAGCGGUGAAAUGCGUAGAUAUCUGGAGGAACACCGGUGGCGAAGGCGGCAUCCUGGACCAACACUGACGCUGAGUGAGCGAAAGCCAGGGGAGCAAACGGG
Molecule: ribosomal RNA, 254 nt
Filed under: uncultured bacterium
Lineage: Bacteria
Description: partial 16S ribosomal RNA
Rfam family: Bacterial small subunit ribosomal RNA
Source: RNAcentral